Molecule: ribosomal RNA, 41 nt
Filed under: Dothideomycetes sp. GS-2016a
Lineage: Eukaryota; Fungi; Ascomycota; Dothideomycetes
Description: partial 18S ribosomal RNA
Source: RNAcentral
CGUUAGGCUCAUCAGAUAGGUGGACCUGCGGAGGGAUCAUU